RNAcentral lists this non-coding RNA (45 nucleotides) under Schistosoma mansoni. Lineage: Eukaryota; Metazoa; Platyhelminthes; Trematoda; Strigeidida; Schistosomatidae. The record is from RNAcentral.
GUCCAGCUGACGAGUCCCAAAUAGGACGAAAUGCACUUUCUGGAU